GGGUCGAUAGCUCAACGGUAGAGCAGCGUCCUUUUAAGUCGUUGGUUCUGGGUUCGAAUCCCAGUCGACCCACCA
Molecule: transfer RNA, 75 nt
Filed under: Microbacteriaceae bacterium
Lineage: Bacteria; Bacillati; Actinomycetota; Actinomycetes; Micrococcales; Microbacteriaceae
Also listed under: 5 other names
Description: tRNA-Lys
Rfam family: tRNA
About the family: Transfer RNA (tRNA) molecules are approximately 80 nucleotides in length. Their secondary structure includes four short double-helical elements and three loops (D, anti-codon, and T loops). Further hydrogen bonds mediate the characteristic L-shaped molecular structure. tRNAs have two regions of fundamental functional importance: the anti-codon, which is responsible for specific mRNA codon recognition, and the 3' end, to which the tRNAs corresponding amino acid is attached (by aminoacyl-tRNA synthetases). tRNAs cope with the degeneracy of the genetic code in two manners: having more than one tRNA (with a specific anti-codon) for a particular amino acid; and 'wobble' base-pairing, i.e. permitting non-standard base-pairing at the 3rd anti-codon position.
Source: RNAcentral